UACGGGGGGGGCAAGCGUUGUUCGGAAUUACUGGGCGUAAAGGGCUCGUAGGCGGCCAACUAAGUCAGACGUGAAAUCCCUCGGCUUAACCGGGGAACUGCGUCUGAUACUGGAUGGCUUGAAUCCGGGAGAGGGAUGCGGAACUCCAGGUGUAGCGGUGAAAUGCGUAGAUAUCUGGAGGAACACCGGUGGCGAAGGCGGCAUCCUGGACCGGCAUUGACGCUGAGGCGCGAAAGCCAGGGGAGCAAACGGG
Molecule: ribosomal RNA, 253 nt
Filed under: uncultured bacterium
Lineage: Bacteria
Description: partial 16S ribosomal RNA
Rfam family: Bacterial small subunit ribosomal RNA
Source: RNAcentral